GAUGAACGCUGGCGGCGUGCUUAACACAUGCAAGUCGAACGAUGAAGCCCAGCUUGCUGGGUGGACUAGUGGCGAACGGGUGAGUAACACGUGAGUAACCUGCCCUUGACUCUGGGAUAAGCCUGGAAAACUGGGUCUAUUACUGGAUAUGACUUCUCAUCGCAUGGUGUGGGGUGUAAAGAUUUGUUGGUCUUGGAUGGACUCGCGGCUUAUCAGCUUGUUGGUGGGGUAGUGGCUCACCAAGGCGACGACGGGUAGCCGGCCUGAGAGGGUGACCGGCCACACUGGGACUGAGAUACGGCCCAGACUCCUACGGGAGGCAGCAGUGGGGAAUAUUGCACAAUGGGCGGAAGCCUGAUGCAGCGACGCCGCGUGAGGGAUGACGGCCUUCGGGUUGUAAACCGCUUUCAGUAGGGAAGAAGCGAGAGUGACGGUACCUGCAGAAGAAGCGCCGGCUAACUACGUG
Molecule: ribosomal RNA, 466 nt
Filed under: uncultured bacterium
Lineage: Bacteria
Description: partial 16S ribosomal RNA
Rfam family: Bacterial small subunit ribosomal RNA
Source: RNAcentral